UCUCCGUUGGUGAACCAGCGGAGGGAUC
This 28-nucleotide ribosomal RNA is filed under the name Beauveria bassiana. RNAcentral's name for it is "partial 18S ribosomal RNA". Lineage: Eukaryota; Fungi; Ascomycota; Sordariomycetes; Hypocreales; Cordycipitaceae. The record is from RNAcentral.